UACGGAGGGGGCUAGCGUUAUUCGGAAUUACUGGGCGUAAAGCGCACGUAGGCGGAUCUGCAAGUCAGAGGUGAAAUCCCAGGGCUCAACCUUGGAACUGCCUUUGAAACUGCGGGUCUUGAGUUCGAGAGGGGUGAGUGGAAUUCCGGGUGUAGCGGUGAAAUUCGUAGAUAUUCGGAGGAACACCAGUGGCGAAGGCGGCUCCCUGGCUCGAUACUGACGCUGAGGUGCGAAAGCGUGGGGAGCUAACAGG
RNAcentral lists this ribosomal RNA (253 nucleotides) under uncultured bacterium. RNAcentral describes it as "partial 16S ribosomal RNA". It matches the Rfam family "Bacterial small subunit ribosomal RNA", at positions 524 to 776 of the family's 1533-position model. The record is from RNAcentral.